This 253-nucleotide ribosomal RNA is filed under the name uncultured bacterium. Its description in RNAcentral is "partial 16S ribosomal RNA". It matches the Rfam family "Bacterial small subunit ribosomal RNA", at positions 524 to 776 of the family's 1533-position model. The record is from RNAcentral.
UACAGAGGUCCCAAGCGUUGUUCGGAUUCACUGGGCGUAAAGGGUGCGUAGGCGGUCGGGUAAGUCUGAUGUGAAAUCUCACAGCUUAACUGUGAAACUGCAUUGGAUACUAUUCGGCUUGAGAGUUGGAGGGGGGACUGGAAUUCUUGGUGUAGCAGUGAAAUGCGUAGAUAUCAAGAGGAACACCAGUGGCGAAGGCGAGUCCCUAGACAACUUCUGACGCUGAGGCACGAAAGCUAGGGGAGCAAACAGG